CAGAGUAGAGCCAGCGCGUCAAGUGCCGCGGGAUGGGAGGUUGCCCGCGGACGAAGCGCCGGUCCUGGACCGGCGCGCGGUGCUGUCUCGCAUCCGCUGC
This 100-nucleotide non-coding RNA is filed under the name human gut metagenome. RNAcentral's name for it is "THF riboswitch". It matches the Rfam family "THF (Tetrahydrofolate) riboswitch aptamer". Rfam says of the family: THF riboswitch presents a pseudoknot that joins P1-P2 and the loop of P3 and two THF binding. The record is from RNAcentral. RNAcentral also lists the same sequence under 1 other name.